Molecule: long non-coding RNA, 145 nt
Organism: Alosa sapidissima (American shad)
Lineage: Eukaryota; Metazoa; Chordata; Actinopteri; Clupeiformes; Clupeidae
Exons: 3
Source: RefSeq, a predicted model, not a curated record
AAACAUUUUAUAAGGAGGUAACUGGGUUAUUUAAAAGAAUUUAGGAAAGUGUAGGAUGACCAUUUGAUCCACACUCCAGUCCAGAUGGUGGCGGUAAUGCACCAAAAAGCUGGUUGCCAACCGCCAUAUAAAAAAGAAGAAGAAG